AUGGGUACAGAAUUUUAUGAGACCAUGUUCAUCAUCAAAGGAGCCCGAGCUGAGACUGAGGAUGAUCUGAACCAAUUGUUCGAAGACUUUGGAAUCAAUGGAGGCCAACUUGCAGCUUCAUUCGGUCCUACUUUUAUGAUGGACACCAACUUGUCUCGCGACGCGGCACCAGUCACAUCACCGGAGAGGGAGGGGCCCUGCGCCGCCUCGACGGUAGACCUGAUAGCUCCACUCUGUCCUCCUGCUUAUAUGAUGGAGACGAACUUGACUCGCGACGCGGAGCCGGCUGACAUGCUGCCAGAGAGCGGUCGGAGGUGCAAAAGAGGUCCUCGCAAGAGGAGAAUACCAUUAUGCACGGACCAAGGCUGGUUUUUGGGUGACUACUUUGGGGGCACAUCCUGCCUCCGGGAUGCACCUUCUGCAAGUGAAGGCCGAAACCGUGGACUCAGAACAAACGGGCCCCAUUGGACUACGGAAGAGGUGACUACACUAGUUGAUGGUCUUGAAGAAUUUAGGGGUCGACGAUGGUCUGCGAUAAAGAAGAAAUAUUUUCCAACGUCAGAUCGAACUACGGAGAAUCUUAAGGAUAAGUGGAAAAAUCUGCGAAAAUCAUACACAGGAAAUGCAGAAAGAAGAUGCUAUCUAGUUCUUCCUGAUCAUUUGAUCGAACGAAUCAUGAGGCUAGCAGUGAUUGGUAACUGA
Molecule: ribosomal RNA, 702 nt
Filed under: Triticum aestivum (bread wheat)
Lineage: Eukaryota; Viridiplantae; Streptophyta; Magnoliopsida; Poales; Poaceae
Description: partial small subunit ribosomal RNA
Source: RNAcentral